UUGCAUUGUUAGUUGCAUUGCA
RNAcentral lists this microRNA (22 nucleotides) under Euprymna scolopes. RNAcentral's name for it is "Esc-Mir-33_5p (mature (guide))". The record is from RNAcentral. Lineage: Eukaryota; Metazoa; Mollusca; Cephalopoda; Sepiida; Sepiolidae. RNAcentral also lists the same sequence under 2 other names.